CUUACAUAGCACUUAGUAGUACUUUGUGUAUAUUCAAUCCUCACCAUAACCCUGUGAGGUCUCAUGAGAACUCUCCCAGAGAAUCCUAGAAAUAAAAGGGAGGCUUUGAAUGGGAGCAGGAAAAAGGUGAGGCCCCUGAGUUGUACAGUUUUGGUGUUUUGAGACCUAGAAGACCCUUCAUUAGAGAACUUGAGAAAUUGCUACAAUAAUCAGAUACACACUUGUGCUGAGGAAGAUGGCAGAGUGGGAGGUGCCAGGGAGAGAAUGAUAAUUUCUCCAUAC
Lontra canadensis (Northern American river otter) is the source of this 282-nucleotide long non-coding RNA. RefSeq lists it as uncharacterized. Lineage: Eukaryota; Metazoa; Chordata; Mammalia; Carnivora; Mustelidae. The record is from RefSeq and is a predicted model, not a curated record. The transcript has 3 exons.